This 153-nucleotide unclassified non-coding RNA is filed under the name Brucella sp. 191011898. RNAcentral describes it as "BASRCI153". Lineage: Bacteria; Pseudomonadati; Pseudomonadota; Alphaproteobacteria; Hyphomicrobiales; Brucellaceae. The record is from RNAcentral.
GCAUUUUCGAGCCAAAAGUGUGAAGCACCUAGGCGGGGAAAUCAGUCCACUGGAUUGAUUUCUGAUCCCGCUUCGAUGCGUUGGAAAAUGCGACAAAACAAAUAGUUAGAGCGGUUCCGUUAAGACAAGAGCCGCUCUGGACGAAAGGCGGCG